This 552-nucleotide small RNA is filed under the name Pongo abelii (Sumatran orangutan). RNAcentral's name for it is "processed transcript". The record is from RNAcentral. Lineage: Eukaryota; Metazoa; Chordata; Mammalia; Primates; Hominidae.
AGGCACUCACUUCCUCAUCGCCAGGCUCUGCACAUCGCUUAGGGUUGUAACAGUAGGGCCAGGCAUGUGAGGCCUCUGCGGGUCAUGGAGAACCUCCCUGCUGUGACCACUGAGGAGCUGACCCCCAUGAGGAGGGGUCCCGUGGGACCCUCAGGAGGUGGCAGCAGCCGGGACCAGGUCCGGACUGUGGCCAUGAGGCCCUCUGUGAGCUGGGAGAAAGCGGGGCCCAAGGAGGCCAAGGCGCCAGUGAGAGGCGACGAGCCUCCUCCCGCCCGCGUGGCUGGGCCUGCUGCUGGGACCCCUCCCUGUCAGAUAGGAGCUUAUCCCACAGACCUGACCCUGCAGCUGCUGGCUGUACGGAGGAAGAGUGGACUGCGGGACCCCGGCCUACAGCAGACCCUCCGGGGCCAGCUCCGCCUGCUGGAGAAUGACAGCCGGGAGAUGGCCCGCGUGCUCGGGGAAUUAUCAGCCAGGCUGCUGUCUAUCCACAGUGACCAGGACCGGAUCGUGGUGACGUUUAAGACUUUUGAAGAAAUCUGGAAAGUUUCCACU